UCGGGAAUUUUGGGCAAUGGGCGAAAGCCUGACCCAGCAACGCCGCGUGAGGGAUGAAGUAUUUCGGUAUGUAAACCUCGAAAGAAUGGGAAGAAUAAAUGACGGUACCAUUUAUAAGCUCCGGCUAACUACGUGCCAGCAGCCGCGGUAAUACGUAGGGAGCAAGCGUUGUUCGGAUUUACUGGGCGUAAAGGGCGCGUAGGCGGCGCGGUAAGUCACUUGUGAAAUCUCUGAGCUUAACUCAGAACGGCCAAGUGAUACUGCUGUGCUAGAGUGCGGAAGAGGCCACCGGAAUUCUCGGUGUAGCGGUGAAAUGCGUAGAUAUCAAGAGGAACACCUGA
RNAcentral lists this ribosomal RNA (341 nucleotides) under uncultured bacterium. RNAcentral's name for it is "bacterial SSU rRNA". It matches the Rfam family "Bacterial small subunit ribosomal RNA", at positions 355 to 713 of the family's 1533-position model. The record is from RNAcentral.